CCCAGACUCCUACGGGAGGCAGCAGUGGGGAAUAUUGCACAAUGGGGGAAACCCUGAUGCAGCGACGCCGCGUGAAGGAUGAAGUAUUUCGGUAUGUAAACUUCUCUCAGCAGGGAAGAAAAUGACGGUACCUGACUAAGAAGCCCCGGCUAACUACGUGCCAGCAGCCGCGGUAAUACGUAGGGGGCAAGCGUUAUCCGGAUUUACUGGGUGUAAAGGGAGCGUAGACGGCAGUGCAAGUCUGGAGUGAAAGGCGGGGGCUCAACCCCCGGACUGCUCUGGAAACUGUACGGCUGGAGUGCAGGAGAGGUAAGUGGAAUUCCUAGUGUAGCGGUGAAAUGCGUAGAUAUCAGGAGGAACACCGGCGGCGAAGGCGGCCUGCUGGACCGCGACUGACGUUGAGGCUCGAAAGCGUGGGGAGCGAACAGGAUUAGAUACCCCCGUACU
This 447-nucleotide ribosomal RNA is filed under the name uncultured bacterium. Its description in RNAcentral is "bacterial SSU rRNA". It matches the Rfam family "Bacterial small subunit ribosomal RNA", at positions 330 to 794 of the family's 1533-position model. The record is from RNAcentral.